Mus musculus (house mouse) is the source of this 29872-nucleotide long non-coding RNA. RefSeq annotates it as predicted gene, 51558. The transcript is spliced from 2 exons. NCBI's taxonomy places the organism in Eukaryota, Metazoa, Chordata, Mammalia, Rodentia, Muridae. The record is from RefSeq and is a predicted model, not a curated record.
GCUGGCAGCCGUGGCGUUGUUGCAUCUGUGUCAGCUCUCUGCUGGUUCUGGACAAGGGAGAAGAUUGUAAGUGCCUGCUGUGAAAUGCUGGUUAUAUUUACAUCCUUUAAAAAGCCGUUAUAUCCAAAGCUAUUGACUUGACACAGUUCAAGAAGUUUUGAGUGUUUCCCUAACAGUUCCAGGCUAGCUCACCCUGCUCUUCAUGACCCUUUGCCUGUCGUUUACAGCUCAGAUCAGAGUUGAGCUCAAAUGUAAGCUGUGUGUUCUCUUCUUGCUAGAAGGGCUUCUGGACGAGAUCAGUAAAUGCAGGGACAUUCAUUUGGAUCAUGACUUAUAAGGUCCACUUUUGAGGUGGCCUAAUUUUAUACUAUGAAAGAAUUAGUAGAUAUGAAAUAUAGUGCAUCUCUUCUAUAAGAGGCUUGUUAGCCAUCAAAACAGCAGACAGAAUGCUGAUUGUAUUGUAAUGGUUCUCUAGUUAUUUAAACAUUUAACUGGAUCUGUGAGUCUGUAAGCACUGGCAUACACUUAUUAAGGCUCUAUGUACUGCUGGUGUAGUUAUUUCAAAUGGCUAUAUACAUAUUUCAGAGUUUAGCUGAAACAAUCUUAGAUGGAUCUUUUCCCACCCCUCCCUUUAUAUACUCAAACACCAUAUGGAGUUUAGCUUUGAAGAGAAUAAUUCUCAUUUCCUUUCAUAUCAAACAUGUGCACACUAUUGUCAUAAACAAUACGCCAAUCGUGUUAUGAAAGUCGCUUAUUGCUGUCUAUGGCAGCUGGGCUCUGUAAAUUAUAAAUGGUUUUACUUAAAAGCAGUAUUUCUGAGACAUUUAUGUGCAUUAGGCUCGCCUGAGAGGCUUCUGAAACACUGACUAUUUUGAUGCCGUAGAUUGAGGGCGGAGUCGAACUUCAGUUUCAAGAAACCCCUGGUUGAUGCUGGUCUUGCAGGUCAUGGCUUUCCAGUUGGGAACUCUGGCGGUGAUUCCUUGCCACAGUAUUCUCAACAGUCCUUGCUUUACUAACUGACAUAUAGCCAGUAACAGUCUUGCAAAUGCAGAAAGUAACUUCUGGCAAUUACAGAAAGAAACAUCGUUUUUAAAAGUAGCAGACAGGAACAGCAGCUCCUGAGUGAGUGCAUCCCAGGGAGAUGGUUCUGACCCUGCACUUCUGCAGUAGUUUACAUUUUUCUUGAUUAUCUCGGAAAAUCUAUUUAACAUUGACUAUAAGGAGUGAUUCCUCUAACACAAACACUUGGGGUCACUCCUGCCUCUUCCCUGAGUCCCCCAGAAGGCUCAUGUGUGUUUUAACAGAUACACUCAGGAAUGUCAGAACCCAAGAAUGAAGUUGUCAUCAGUGGCAGUGACAUUUUCUUUAAAAGCUUUUUGUCUCAUCAUUGCUGUGAUUGUGGAAGCUGCCUGCAGAAGGUUAAGUACCAUCUCACGGACAUCCCUCUGAAGCUGCUUUCUUGAAAGAAAGGCUACCAAAACACUAGCACUGCUUGCUAGUGACUCCUGGGGGGAUCUAGAAAAAGAUGGCCAAGGAAUUACUGAUGGCUGAUAAAGUAAUUAUCUGCACAUAGCUCGCACCAACUUGAGAAUCAGAGAAAAAUAGGGAAGGGGCCUAUAGCAGGUACAGUCAGGGAGGACCCUCUUGCUCCUCAUUGCCACAAACACCUGCCUUAAACCCCAGGGCUCCAAUCCCUGGCCUUCUGCCAGACCUUAAAUGGGAUUAUCAUAUUCAGAGUGCACCCCACUCCUGUUUACAGCAUCUAGACCUGUAGUCUCCAUGCCCCAAAUUCUGCUAAUCCCAUUCUCUAACAGGCCCCUGGCUCAUGCCCACCCACAGUUCACUUUACAAGGAGGAGUCAUGCCAAGCAGUGCAGUAUUUCUGAAUCACACCUUUGACACUUCUUUCUUUCAAGCCCCUCAGCUUUACCAGGAGGGCCAUGAUUUAUUUUUGCAGGCAAAACAAGAGAUCACAGACACUCGCUAAUCCUUUAAUGCUACAUUCGCAGAGAAUAAGAUAUCCAUUAAUGACUAAUGGUGUUGCUACUUUUAGAAAUGGCCUUCCUUUGUGCCUGUCAAGCUUUUUCUCGCCCACCUGUUAGUGAAUAUGGACUUGCUUGGGAGCAUGGCAUCUCCCCAUUGUCUUUCUUGUUGGAGAGAAAGCUACAUAGAAAAUCGGGUAGUAUAGAAGCCAUUUUCUUUUUUUUUUUUUUCCAUUUUUUAUUAGGUAUUUAGCUCAUUUACAUUUCCAAUGCUAUACCAAAAGUCCCCCUUACCCACCCACCCCCACUCCCCUACCCACCCACUCCCCCCCUUUGGCCCUGGCGUUCCCCUGUACCGGGGCACACAAAGUCUGCGUGUCCAAUGGGCCUCUCUUUCCAGUGAUGGCCGACUAGGCCAUCUUUUGAUACAUAUGCAGCUAGAGUCAAGAGCUCAGGGGUACUGGUUAGUUCAUAAUGUUGUUCCACCUAUAGGGUUGAAGAUCCCUUUAGCUCCUUGGGUACUUUCUCUAGCUCCUCCAUUGGGAGCCCUGUGAUCCAUCCAUUAGCUGACUGUGAGCAUCCACUUCUGUGUUUGCUAGGCCCCGGCAUAGUCUCACAAGAGACAGCUACGUCUGGGUCCUUUCAGUAAAAUCUUGCUAGUGUAUGCAAUGGUGUCAGCAUUUGGAAGCUGAUUAUGGGGUGGAUCCCUGGAUAUGGCAGUCUCUACAUGGUCCAUCCUUUCAUCUCAGCUCCAUACUUUGUUUCUGUAACUCCUUCCAUGGGUGUUUUGUUCCCACUUCUAAGGAGGGGCAUAGUGUCCACACUUCAGUCUUCAUUUUUCUUGAGUUUCAUGUGUUUAGGAAAUUGUAUCUUAUAUCGUGGGUAUCCUAGGUUUUGGGCUAGUAUCCACUUAUCAGUGAGUACAUAUUGUGUGAGUUCCUUUGUGAUUGUGUUACCUCACUCAGGAUGAUGCUCUCCAGGUCCAUCCAUUUGGCUAGGAAUUAGAAGCCAUUUUCUGAGGGAAGGCAAUCUCUUGCUACUGCCACACUGCUGUAAAUCGUUGUGGUUAGAUUACUUAAAUACAUAUAAAGAGAAAAUGGGACUGAAGUCCUGUGUGGGACCACCAUACAUCAAAUAAAACCUUAGUCUUUACAAAGUUAGACACAAACAAAAUGACAAGCCCACUGCAUUCCAGUGAACUGUGUUAACAUGGCCAAUAAUAUAGUGUACUUUAUUAGUGCAUUGUGACCCCAAAAAAUUGAUACACUGGGUGCACACCUGCUACUGUUGAGUCGAGGAAGUGCUGAUGCCUUUCAUCCAUCCCUUUCUCCUGAUUCCUUCAGUGCUCUUGUGAAUUUGUGGCCCACAAUCGUUGACUGAAAUUUCAUAUUGAUAAAUCAUUUAUGACAUCACCUGGUUUUUCACUAUCAUUAAGUUGAGACAUUUCCUGGUGUCUUUCUGUUUGUAAAGCUAAAUUCAGACAGCAACUUGUUUUUAACGUGCCUGCAAGGUGAUCUAGAAUAUGCCUACGUGAACUUAAAGAAGCAAUCAUUCUGAUGGAAAUAUGAAAUUUUCUCCAGUGGGUAAUGUACAGGUGCUUGUCGACUGACUAAAUGUCACCAAAGUUUGCAAUGGUUAUAUGUUGAACUUUGCUAUGCAAAUCUCUGUAUUCCGGAGGAAUGGAGGCAUUGCUAAUAAUCUGAAAUGUACUUCUCAGAUUUUCUUUGUUCAGUUGAAAAAGGCCAUCUAGAGAAUUCAUUGCUCAAAACAAUUUGAUAGAUCUCAUAGCCAGAGGUGUAGAUGCAACAUAGGAAAUAUAUUAAAAGUGUCACAAUUGGGAACACUUUCCCAGCUCUUUGUAUUGUAUGUACGGUUAUGUCUCAAAAUGCACUCAUGCCGCUUUUUUAAGUGCGUCCAUGGGUGAAUUCGUGCCUAUGUGCAUGCCUUAGUCACUUUCCCUUUAUUACUGUUCAGUUUUGUGCAUGUUCAUUCUGCCAGUGUUUCCCUGCAUGCCUGACUGUAUCUGCACAUGUGCUGGUUCCCAGGUACAUACUAAAGUCAUGGUAGACUGCCUUUUAGUCUUUUUAUGUCCUUGGUAACAUUUUUACUUUUUACAUUAGAUGCAUGCUAAGUAGGUAGACCCUAAUCUCUCUUCUAUAGGAAUAAUUAGACUUAGAUUUACCAUAAUGUUAAGAUGCAUCCCACUUAGUCUAGCGAUUUUGAAGGUUUAGGCAUGGCCAGUGGUUCAUUAAUCCUGUAUUUCCCUGACUAAGAUGGGAAUUUCUUUUGUUGGCUGGUGUGUUUUGGUUGGCCAAGACCCCUGUGCCUGAUGAAGCAUAUAUGACAUAUUUCCAUCCUUCUCUGUGCUCUGGAAGACAUUACCAGUUGCCUACCUACCCAGUACCCACUCUCUUUUUUCCAUUAUGGAGUAAAUCCUCGUUUUACUCAGAUCGGUAAGUGACGGACUCAACAUUUCGGUUUCUUAGAUUAAGUGUGACUCAUGUGACAGUUAUAACUACUAAACAUCGUAAGCAUCCGGGCAGGUGGGACUUCCUGUAGAGCUAGUUUUUUUUUUUUUCCCCUGAUUUGGGAGUCGGGAGGAUGGAGAAUCCUGUGAUGGAGGCUCUCUCUAGCACAUCUGAAUUAUAAGGGUUCUUGGGUUUGCUCUUUAGUGGUUCCCCCACCCCCACCCCCACCAGAUCUUAGCUAGGUGCUCUAGGUUGGGCUUUACUUGUAAAGCCUGAAGGGAAAAAGUCACGUGGAAGUGUUUCCAGUCAUAACUUGCCCAGCCUGGCUCCUUGUUGAGUUGGAAAAAGUCAGUCUGUUGUUUAAGUUGCUAUUUUGAGAUUUCUUUUUCAAGCACCUGGACACUAGGUUGGUUGGAUAUAAGGAAUUGUGUACAGAAGAGCUCAGAGAGAAGCCCUGCUCGCCUCCUCACCUCCACCUCAUUCCCUGUCUCUUCCCCAUUGCCUGUCCUCCUCUCACCUGCUCCUCUUCCUUUUUAAAGACACAAUCUUAUGUAUCCCAGGCUAACCUCAAACUCACUAUGUAUGACUGUUCAGGCUCCACUUAGACUCUUGACAUUUCUGUCUACAUUAGGUAAGCGCCCCCUCCCCACCCCAUCCCCCAGGGAGCUAGCAGUAGGACCCAUAAUUGUAACUGACAAAGAUAGACUGUAGUCUAGGGCUGAAACAACUUCUAUUGGAGCGAGUAGUAAAAGGCUUGAUUCUCAAUCCAUGGAAUUCAGCCCAAGGAGUAGCUGGGAGUGAAUCCCUGAGAGGAUUGUGGGAACCAUGGUGUUAACUCUCCUUGCUUCCUGUCCUCCAGGUAGUGAAUUGCUGUUCACCUACACAAUGUAGGCUUUUCUUAAAGUAGGGCAUGGUGAGAGGUUGAGACAAGGUCUCAUGUAUCCCAGGCUGAUCUCAAACUAAGUGGGUAGCCAGUGAUGAUUUUGAACAUGUCAGCCACCUGCCUUUACCUUCCAAAUAUUGGGCAUGUGCUGCCAGGCCCAACUUAUGUAAGUGCUGGGAACAGAACCCAGGGUUUUCACAUGCUUGGCAAGAACUCUACCAAAUGAGCUACGCCUGCAGCUCUCUCUGUACAGCAUCGCCUUUGUACAGAGCAAACCUCUUUACAAGCUGAUAUCUGAGGAAUUUGUUUCACUACUGCCAAGCUGCCACAUAGGCUGGGUUGUAGAACAGUUGUCAAAUUUAGGGUGUGCAAAGAGAACCCAAAGUACUCUUCCCAUCUCACCAUGAAUAGUAUUAAAGGUUUAUUUUUCAAAGUGGGGACUGUUCCCAGAACUGACUGGGAAGGAGGGCUAUAACCCUCAGCAAAUGAAUCCACUACAACGACCUCUCCCAGGUAUGCCGAUCUCAUAGGAAUUUUGAUCUUAAAGGAGUGCCUAAUCACUGUUUAAUCUGGUUGCACCAGGUAUACAGGUGAACCUUGUGGCUUUUUGGUGUUACAAGUUCUGCAACUGUUAUAUCUUGUUGGUGAAGAGUGUCCUAGUUAGGGUUUCUAUUGGUAUGACAAAACACCAUGACUGAAGGAAACUUGAGAAGACAGGGAUUGUUUGGCUUAUACUUCAAGGUAACAGUCCAUCAUUGAGGGAAGGCAAGGUAGGAACCUGGAGGCAGGAGCUGAUACAAAGGCCAUGGAAGAGUGCCACUUACUGGCUUACACCCCAUAGCUUGCUCAGCCUGCUUUCUUAUAGUAUCCAGGACCACCAGAGGUUUAGCACUGCCCACAGUGAGAAGGGCCCUCCCACAUCAGAACACUCGCCAGUUGAUGUCUGUGUAACUGACUUAUCCAAAUUGGGAACACAAAGUAUUUGGGCUAUCGAAAAGAAAAUCGUGGGCCUCUAGCAUGAGCUAGUCACUAACAUCUGUUCAUCGUAAGCUGUGAGGGAGCUACUAUCAUCACCAGACACAGCUCAUCCCAUUUGGAGUUCACCUUGAUUAAAUCGUUUUAUUAAGCCACAGUCUUGUUUUUUGUGAUACUAUCCCUGUACUUCCUGCAUCGUUUUUGACAGCACAAAGUUUCUUUUCGUACAAGUUACACGGUCCCGUGUAGGACAUUUGGGAGGGCUCCGACUAGUAACAGAGGCCUGCUGUUCGGUAAGCUAUGGUCAGUAAUCUUCUUUAUUUACUUGGGGACACCGUGCAAUCUACAUUUGCAUUCAGAUACUGAACUCCAAGGCAGCUCCAGUGGACAUUUGCUUACUGUCAUCGUGAAAUCAUUUGCCACCAAAAAUGCAUUGUCCUCAAAUAUAAUUGAAAUAAAGCAGGAACUAUGCUGUUACAAACCUAAAUGCAGGAAAAUAGUAGGCUAGACUCCCUGAGCUUGCCUAGGAUGUCUUAAUGGAAGCAUAAAUACCAUAAUCAUGUGCUUUUUGCAUGCAUUUUACCACCAAGGGAAAAAUGCCAGUUUUAAAAGGAAAGACCUUUGUGAACUUAUUUCUCCCUCCCCACUAAAACUGGAAUCCUAUUGAGUGAAAAAGAAGUCUGGUAGACACAGAACAAAACUAAUUUUCUGAGAUACAGGCAGUUAUUAAACGUGCGCCCUUUGGAAAAUGUUGGGUCAUAUAACACAAUCGCAUUUGCUAUUCAAAAAGUCAAAUACUGCUUCACCUUCGCUCACUGUUAUUUAUCUCUGCUUUUCCUGAAAUGUGAGAUGGUAGUCUUGGAAGGGGUUGAAAACUACCAGUGAGUCUAUAGGGACCUUCACUGUCCUGUGUGCCAUCAGACCUGGGCCUGUGCCUACAGAGGGUCUGUGCCUAUGGCCACCUGUUUCUUUUUAACUCUGGCUGCUCAUUUAGUUCUGACCUGUGCCCAUGCUCUCCACUGUACCACUCUCUCAGGCUCCUCCUCAGUUCUGGGGACAGAACCUACCCACACCUGCACCUGACUUGUUCCUGCUACUUGGUUGCUGAAGGUUAGCAGCCCUCGUUCCCAGUCAGCUCUGGGAAACUAAUGUCUUAGACUGUUACCAGCAUCUUAGUCUUCUGGGAAUGGAACCUUUUAUCUGUAGCACAUGGCAGGCAGUGCCUGCGAGUUUGCCAAGCUAAGGAAUUCAGAGUCUCUUUCCCUUCUAUAGCACUGCUUCAGUGGCCAUUAGGAGUCUCUCAGCACUCUCCUUGCCUUCUGUGUCUGCAGUCUUAUUCUUGACAAGUCCAUACUUCAGCCACUACCUGGGGUUUUGAACCUAAAAUAAAAUCUGACUAUGUCUUGUCUUUAUUUGAGGUUAUUUUUCUAUAGCUUGUACCCAAGAUAUACAAGCUGCCCUUAGCAUGGGGAAUUGGCUUCCCCAGCUUCUGGGUUCAGGCUCCUCUUCUGUUAUAUCACAUUGGUUCACGUCUCUUUGCUAACUUAUUAUCUCUACCUGACCUCUUUGGUCCCAGAAUAAUGACUCUGAGACUUAAUUGUUUAUGGAUAAAUGCAUAGGCCAUAAGCUUGGGCUUGUUCCACCAACAAGCUCAUAGCUCAUAACUUAUAUAACCCAUUUAUUCUAGUCUAUGUCUGCCACAUGGUUGGUUACCUCUCCUCAACUUCAUGAGUCCAACUUCCUCAUUCAGGGAAAAUCUCCCACUCUUGACUCUUUCUCAGAAUCUCCUCCCUCCCCACCCCCUCUGCUGGAUAUUCCACCUUUUAUUUCCUGCCUCUGCUAAUAGGCCUUCAACUUUUUAUUGAAAGGUGAUGCUUCCACACAUUACUUAAGAAAUUCUCUCUACAAUUGAAAGUGUAAAAGUAUAAACCUAAUAACACCAGGUACAUAGGCCAGCUAUGUGGCUUUUUAGUGGUGCAAGUUCUGCAGUGGCUACAAUUUGGGGAAGAAGAGUGUCCUAGUUAGAGUUUCUGUUGGUAUGAUAACACCAUGACUGAAGGAAACUUGGGAGGAAAGGGAUUAUUUGGCUUAUAGUUUCAAGUAACAGUCCAUCAUUGCUGAGGGAAGUUAAGCCAGGAACCUGGAGGCCAGAGCUGAUGCAGAGGCCAUGGAGGAGUGCAGCUUCCUGGUUGCCCUCAUGGCUUACUCAGCCUGCUUUCUUACAUAACUCAGCGCCAUCAUCCCAGGGGUGGCACUGCCCACAGUGAGCUGGGCCCUCCCACAGUCACCAUUUGAGACAUGACCACCAGUUUACCAUUGGCUAGUCUGGUGGGGAAAUUAUCUCAAUUGUGGUUCCCUCUUUAAAAUGACUCUCACCUGUGUCAAGCUGACCUGAAACUAGCCAGCGCACAAAAUGAGCAGCUCCCAUUCAACCAAGCUGUCGAUUACAGCUAGAGAUCCUGCAAUUAAAAUAAAGGCUGAGGUGACACAACCAGUUCAACAAAUGAAACUGUGGCAGUAAUGAAGCCAUAAAUAAGGUCAUGGCUAAUCUUAAAGACAUUUUGUUUAAUUCUUUUUGUUGAUUAACGUUGCCCGAAACCACAAUUUGUUUGUAGAAGUAAUCUGGGGUGGGGGUGGGGGUUGUUUAUUUAUAUAUUUAUUUCUGCCUUAGGGAACACUUUCAUAUUCUACAGAAAUGUGAGGCUAAAUGAAAAAAACUAUUUUAGACUUUGGUAAUCAUCAGUAAAUUGCCCCCAGCAGAGUGUACUCAUUCAGUCUUAAUGUCUUUCUUGUCACAGGGCCCUGAACUUGUGGGCCUUUGAUGAGCUAUCUUUGCUGCUGUGGCCGAAAUCUACUUCAUUUGUGUGGCACGGUGUUUUAUUUUAGUGUCUUGCACAUCUUAGUACCCCACUUUCCAUUCACUGUGGUACACUAAGCCAUCUUUCUCUUCCUGGCUACCCCAUUUCCCCAUCCCUUCUACAAUCCAAACUCAAGGCUUUAAGUGCCAAUCUUACUGGUAUUUAGUGAUCUUGGGCUGCUGUCAUUUCCUCUUUUGCUCCUGCAUAAGGAUGGAAUAUCAGUCUCUUAUUAAUAUAAAUUCAUGAGGAUUUAUGUGGAGCCCUGUGGUGAGACGCAUUUUCAGCUUCUUGGGAGACUUUAUCGAGCCCUGAAUCCACAAUCCAUUUUUAAAUUAACUCCCCAGAUGUUCCAGGGCCCUUCCUUGGGCUCUGAAGUCCUCCCAUAGAUGUUUGAUUGCCCCAUGUUUCCAUCUUCAUUCUUUCCUUUUCCAUGUUCUCUUCACUGCUCAAUUCUAUGUAUCUGCAAUAAUAGCACUAAUUGGUCUAAAAAGAGGUUUUUCUUUUCUAAUCAAAGAAUUAGCUGGAUUAUCCUUUCACCCAGCUGUAUACAUGAAGAUAUGGAAAGAAAGGAACUUCCUACAUUGUUACAGGACAGAUAGAUAGAAUAGACUGCCUAGAUUGUUACAGGACCUAAAGAUACAUUUUGAUACAUUAUAUAAAACAGAUUCAAAUGUUAAAAGAAUAAAUGUAUGUUAGUGUACAGAAAUGUUCCUAUUCUUUUUUGAGACAUCGACUUAUGUAGUUCCAGGUGACCUUAAACUAGCUUUGUAGCCAUGGAUGACCUUGAACUCCUGUACCUCCUGCCCCUACCUCCCAAUUGCUAGGAACACAUUCACUACUUUGUCUAGUUUAUGAGGUGGGGGGGGGGAUCAAACCCAGGCCUUUGUACAUGCUAGAUGAAGGCCCUUUACUAACUGGGUUACCCCUCCAACCCCAGAAAUAUAUGUUCACACAGUCAACAUUUUUAAACAGAAUUUUGUGUAUGGCUUUGCCUUUCAUAAUCAUUUUUAUCCCUCAGUCUUUAAAUGAGCUGUGUUACUGAGUCCUCAGGGACAUAGCAGUGUUUCCCUACUGUGAUGGUUUAUUGGUUGUCAACUCAACAGGAUCUAGAAUCACUCCCCAGACAAAUCUCUGGGCAUGUCUGUGAGAGAUUAUCUAGAUUAGGUUAAAUGGGCAGGGAAGACCCGAGGUAAAUGUGGUUGAUGCCAUAGCCUGCUUCAGUAGCAGAUACGUUCAAAGGAAGAUCAAACAGAUCCUUCUUUGCUUCCUGAUUGUGGUACAGUGUAACUAUGUCCAAGGCUCCGGCUGCCAUUAGAGCCACACAUGGCAGACUGCCCUCUUAAACACUGAGCCUAAAUGAGCCCCUCCUUCUUUAAGCUGCUUUUCUUUUCUUUUUUUUUUUUUUUUUUUUUUUUUUACUCAUAGCAAACUACACUAAAAUAACUAAUACCUAAAUAAAAUACCUGAGGAUCAUGGAAUUGUCUCCAGAGGAAUUCCUUUUGGAGAGAGGGGUGGCUUUUUAGAUUUAAGUACGCAUACAAACCGUAUGUGUAUAGGGCUUACACACAAAUUCUCAUUUCUCCAUUUACUUUUGCUGGCAUUCGUGAGGAUCUCACCAGAGAAACCUGCUAGUCUUGUGCAGCUCAGGGGCAGGUAACCUCACUAGGACAUGGAUCCUCUCUGAGCUUGGUGCAAACCCAAAGGAAAAGACAACCACGUGUGACUCAAAACAAAACUGUAAACAGCACAAAUGAUAUAAAAGUACUAGGUUUCUGACAGGGUAAGUUUCCCUGGGCCAUUGUGACUCUAGGCUCAAGUCCCUGACUGCUGAAGUUGAGAGGUCGCAUAAGUUUAAACAUUGACUUUGUAGCAGAAACUGAAGCUGACCAAGGACAAACAGACUGGUUUCCAAUGAUCCUUUUGUCUCCUUCUCUCCUUUAUCCUGUACAUUUAAGCUCUGGGAUGAUUUAAAGGCUUCAGUGCUUUGAACAAGCCCGAACUCUAGGGCUUAGCUGAGAAUUCCUGGAGAUCCAGGCAGCUCCUAAAAUGCUAUUCUGUCAUGGCCUCGUGCCAAUAAUUACGGAUAGUGAUGUGGACAGCAAUGAAUAAGAACCGAAAAAUAACUACAUGAUUCAUGUAUGUUGAAGAUAAUAGAGGAUGUUUUUGAGGAUGCAUUUGAAAUGGCAUGAGAGAAACUUGAGUGUAAGGAUGAGUAGAUUUGUAUCCUUGCAUAGAAAUGCAUACUUUGAAUAAGUGUCUUUCAACUGAACCUUCAGUAUUUGGUUUUGCUGCCCUCCCCAUCAGCCUUCCCCCCUAAUUCCUUAGUAUAUCCAGACUGCCUUCUAAGUUCUCUCCCCGUUAAGUUGGACCACAGGGUUCAGUGUGAUGAUAUGAGAUGUGAUACUAAACAAGUUGACCCAGUGGCAGAAGCCUGCCUUUCUAAGAGGUUGUGAUGCCUGGGCUGUGUCCUCAGUGGAAGAGAGCUGUUCUGUAUAUGGGAAUUGGACUGAGUUUUGAAUGGAAGGUAUAUAAUUAAAGUGGAAAAUUCAGACCUUCCUGGUGUGUGUCAGGUUUCCAUGUCUGUGACAGAUAAACAGAUCGUCAGGUUAAAACGAGAAGAGGUUGAUUUGGCUCUCAGUUUUUGAAGCUUCAGAUAGUAACUGGGGAGACCUAGUGCUUUUAGGUCUUUGUGAGAGACCCUCACCUCCUGUCAGGAGGGCAAGGAUAACCACACUACUCAUAGCUGGGUGUGGAGCAAUAGGAAAGGGCUAAAGGUUGUCUUGGUGUCACCUUCUAAGACAAACUCCCAGAGAGCAGACCCCACUCUGAGAGAUUCCAGUACUUCCCAGCAACACCAUAGGCUGAGGAUCAAGCCUUGUAAGAUGUCCCUUGGGUGACACUCACCCAAACUGAUCAGCUAGGCUGACUGGCUAGUGAGGUCCAGGGAUCCUCCUGUAUCCACCUUCCCAGUCCAGGCAUGCAGUUCCCUCUACCAUAUCCACAUUUUAUAUGGGUGCUGGGGAUCUGAACUCAGGUCUGACAAGCACAUUACCAGCUGAAUUACUGUCCCUUUCCUCUUCCUCCUCUUCUUUGUUCUCAUUUCUUCUCCUCAACCCAUUCUUCCUCCACCGUCACAACUACCAGUACUUCCUCCUCCUCCUCCUCCACCUUCUUCUUUUUCCAGCUUUUAUUUUAUAGAACAGUGGUUUGAAUCGCACAAUAGUGUUAACCUUGUUGAUGGACAGGUUUGAUAUCCAACACCCUGCCCUGUUUGUAACUGAUCAGGAUGUGAGCUAAUUUUUUAAAAGGGUAAAUGGCUCUCUGGUUAUUUACUGAGAUUUCCUUUACAGCUAGUAUCCCUUCCUGACUUUCAUGUCUCGUCAAUUCUUGAAAAACCUUUAAUAGUCAAGGACGACCAGUGCUACACACGCAUAUGCCUGUGGGUUGCAAGAAGUUAUGCUCCCAAAGUGCAGAAAUUAUGAUUAAAUUAAUGUUGCCACUUUCUGCAGACACUACCAUGGGAGGAUGCAGGGCUGACACACAUGGAAGCCAUCCAUCCCUGCCUUCUCCUCAGCACUGUAGGGAUCCGCAUGUGCAGCUCUGCAGUAUCCUUCUCAGGCACACAUUUCCCUCUUGGCUCUUUCUGGAUCUUUCCCAUGCUUGCCCAUUUUGACUGUUCAAGUCUCAAGUUUUCUGUUUGGAUUUCUGCUGGAAAGCCUCCAUGACCCACAGUGGGCAGAAGGGCAGUGGGUGAAGUUGCCAGGGAGACAAGGCAGGUGACAAGCUGGUGGGCCUUCAAAUUCUGGGGUCACAAGAAUUCAUCCCUUGAGAAAGCCAAAGCCCAAGCGUUUUGACAGAAAAUGCAACUUUCUCUAGAGCGCUCACCUGGAACAUGAUUGUCUGUCUGAGAGGGGCCAUCUCUGUGGCCACAGCAGCAUUGCAAGGGGGGUGGAGGGUGGGAGGCAGAGCCAGAAAGCAUUGUCUCAGGAAAUGCAAAUGAUUUCCAACUGUGUGCUUGCCCACUCCUUGUCCACCUUCCCUACAUUGCAUUUCCUGCUAAUAUUUUGCCAUCACACCAUGCACGUGACUUUGUUCCAUGGUUUAUCAUGUCCAAUCUGAGUUAAGUUUCAAAUAAAGCAGGGGGUUUUAAAUGUCUGCUUUGUUCAUUGUUAUAUUCCAAUAUUUAUAUGGCAUUCAUGUAUAUUUAUAUAAAUUAAGAAAUGUGGGUCAGUGAGCUGGCUUUGAAGAUUAAAAGCUGACAAGACUGAUGACCUGAGUUCAAUCUCCAGGACCUACAGAUAGAAGGAAAGAACUGAUCCUGACCUCAGCAUGUCCACCAUGGUACACACACACACACACACACACACACACACACACACGCACUCACAUGCACACACACUCACACACAUGCACACACCUGCACGCACACGCACACACUGAGACAGAUCUCUUCUUAUGACAGCUUCUGUAGUCCGUCUGCAUAUAACCACAAAGGGUCUUUUUUAGAAACAUAAACAUUUUAAUUGUUAAAGUCACUUUAUAUAUGUGCCUGCCUACAAUCUUAGCUACUCAUAAAACUGAGACAGGAGGGUCUCUAAAGCUCACAAGUUGGAAAUCAGUCUGAAAAACAUAGCAAAAACCCUUUUGCUUGUCAGGAGUUAAAUUCGUAGCCCUUGUUGGCUGUGGGGAGCUCAUCUCAUUGGCAGGAGACCAGAUGUGAUGCUCAACCAUGUGAUAUGAUGUGGUAUGCUGUUGGUACUGACUCCCACAGGCCAGGUGUGACAGGGUGUGUUCAUUGGCCUGUGGUGACAUUGGGAAUUGGGGGACAUUAGAUUUGGGGCAUACUCUUCCACUCUCUUCUCCCAGGAUUCCAUGAGCUGGUCUAGUCUCCUCUACUCUGUGCUCUUGCUAUGGUGAGCUCACAAGCCCAAAGGGCAUGGCCAAGGUUUCAUUGAGAUGAACCUUUCUACCUCAUAAAUGGGUUCUCUGAGGCUUUGAGUCACAGUGACGGCAAGCUGUCCAUUAAGGUGGACAGCCACCGCCGUCAUCACCGGCAGCACAUCUUCAUGUCUUCAUUCUUGAGUCCUAAGGACAUUUAGAAGCAAAAUCAUUGGCUGGGUUGAUUGCUUUUGUCUGUGUUAUAUAUGGUAGCUCUGUGCAUAUUUUUAGCAUCUUUCCUGUGUAAAUGCUUGUUUUAGAUUUCUCUGCUUUGAGUUUUGCUGAGACAAUUGAUGUCUGCUGCUCUGUACCAGCGUUGAAAUACUCGUUGCUGUGGACAGUUGAUUGAUCUCUGUGAUUAGGAAGCAACAUAAUCUGCAGUAAUUAGGUAUAGUCUUGAAGUUUAAUAGCCUACAAUUAAUAUCCGAUACAGGAGGCUCAGGUGCACAGAAUUUGGUGUUAUAGGAUGCCAGCAAAGGCUGCAAGAUGGGCUGAGCUGUUUCUCCUGAACCUUGCAAUGCUUCCUGCAUGCAAGACUUGCUUGAGCCUCUUCAUCAGAUCCCUCUUGGCAGUGUGGAGUGAGUGUUAGCUCUACAGUCUAGCUAAAUAGUAUCAGUGUUGUGAAUGCCUUGUGCUCAUAUAUGACAAUUACUGCAAAUAAUAUUGAGUGUUAAUAACUAGGUAAUAACCUAUUAUAGAUCCUUUUAUUUUUCCUGAAAAAACAGGAAGGGUUCUGGCUUGGACACAACACAUGACAUAUGAGAAGACCACACUUUAUUCUCAUAACUAUGUCUUUACUGCCACACUGGGUCCGCUCGUGUGGGUGGGUUCAGCUGCCUUUCGUGCCUUUAAAUUAGCCCCAGAACAAGCUAAACACCCGUCAAGGACUAAAUUAAUAGAUUUGGGUUGUUUUAAUUAGCUAGGUGUGAUUUAAAGGUUGCUGAAAUCAAAAAGGCUUAUUCAUUUUUCAUCAAUAAUCAUUUGCCUUAAUAUUUCAUUAGAACCUGCUGGCUUGCUGGCUUCCUUCUGGGCUUUGAUUCAUUGUGACUGCAGAUAGCAUGUGCUCUCCCUUUCCUCAUUCUGUACCAUAUACUUUCAUCUCCAAGACACUGUCAAGAUGUUUCCAACAUUCGCCACUAAUUGAGCAUACUUUAAAAAAAAAUGUACUAAAGUUAAGAAUUCUAGGCGCGCGCUCUCUCUCUCUCUGUCUCUUUAUCGUGUGUGUAUGUGUGUGAAUACAUGCAUGCACACACACACACACACACACACACACACACACGUGCUUCGGGAAUUUCUUCUCAUCAUUUGAAUGGCUAAUAAUGUUUACAUUUUUCAUUUCAUAUGUCUUGAGAGUCAAGGCCAAGUCCUUUGUCAUAAGUGUCAGGAGGGACUCGUGUUUGAACCUCACCAUCAUUGGAAAAGAACAAAGCAUCUCGUGUGUGACACUUUGGGUGACACCUCACCCAGCACACGUGCCUGGCCUCAUGAGCAGCUAGCUUGCCCAUGUCCACUCCGGUUGGAGCAGCUGUGCUGGCACCUUCCGAGAACUGUGGUGACACAGGGAAGCUGAGAGAUGGGUCUCAGAGUACAGAUGUCUGUAUAGAGCUGAACUUUCUUCUAGAGUCAGGUGAUCCUGUGAACAGUGCACUCAGAAACAGGGACAGGACAUCUAGGCUAGGGGGAAUCUAGCAGAGAUUGCUUAAAGCCCCAGAUUUCAAGUACUUUUCAUAAAGCUCGUGGAUAGUAAUGUCUCAUGUUUGCUGAGAGCUACUAACCUAAAAUGUAGAAUCACAGUGUAGACUGAGGCUCUGUCUAACACUGACAGUAAGAACAAGAAAAUAAAUAGGCAAGAAAAUAAAUACAUGGACACUUUCCAUUUCCUCCAGACUGACUGUGAAAUACACCGUGUUUUUACAGCUAUGCUGACCAGUUUGUGUGAAGAUUAUUAAUGGCCUACUGUACCAGACAAUGCUGCUAAGUAAGAAUUGCAAACUGUCCAGAAAUAAAGAUUUGUAUCUUUCAAUUUUUGAUAAAUGCAUUCAAAAGCAAAUAUAUUUACUAAUCUGUUACCCUUUUUUAAAAAAAAUUUAUUUAAUUCACAGAUAAUUGAAUAUUGGUCUACCUAUAUUAAGAAUUAUGUUCCAGCCAGGCAGUAGUGACACACGCCUUUAAUCCCAACACUUGGAGGCAGAGGCAAGCGGAUUUCUGAGUUCGAGGCCAGCCUGGUCUACUUAGUGAGUUCCAGGACAGCCAGGGCUACACAGAGAAACACUGUCUUGAAAAACCAAAAUUAAAAAAAAAAAUUCUAUUCUAAAAGUGUGUCUUAAAAAUUUACCUUUAAGUCUAGCACUCAGGAGGCAGAAGCGGAUAGAUCUCCAUGAGUUCAAGGCCAGCCAGGUCUACAUAGUGUCUAAAAUAAAAAAGGAACCUGGCUGAGAUGAGAUCGCUGGUGAAUUUGCUUGCCUUGCAAAUAAGGAUUUAAGUUUCACCUCUAGCACCCACACAGAAGCCAGGUGUGUUGUGUAUGCCUUUGUAAUCCCAUCACGGGGGAGAUGAAGACAGAGGAUCCCCGUGACUCCCUGACUGGCCAGCCUAGUCUCCACCAGCGCCAGACCAGUGAGAGGCCCAAUCUAAAAAAAAAAAAAAAAAAGGUAAAGAGUGUCUCAGGUUGACCUCUGGCCUCCCCAGGAAUGCCCACAAGAACAUGUGCACCUGCAUACACAUAUGCAUACAACACAAAGUCAAGGAGGACCAGCACACAUACACUUGCUGCUUAGACUGAGGACCACCAGCAGACAAAUAUACACUCGCUGCUUAGACUGAGGAAGAUGGUUCUCUUACUGGCUGUACUCUCUGUAAAACAGAAAAUUCUUUGUUCUUAUUGUAUUAGAGUCAUAUGACUUGCUUUGUAUGACUAGGUAUGUUGUAAUCAUUUUAUUCUUCUGAUACUGUUUGGGAUUCCUGGAAGAAGCUGUAAGGCAGUUUACAAAGUGCCCUUUAUUGGGCCUGGCCUUUACCCCUAGGACCCCCUCUGCCGGCCUUUCCCACUUUAUUGGGCCUGGCCUUUACCCCUAGGACCCCCUCUGCCUGCCUUUCCCACUUCCAGAACAGCAAGGCGUGAGCUCUACCAAAAGUGGCUUUAGAUUCGGAUCCAGCUCUGCCCCCCCCCCUUUCUUUUGGUUGUUUGGCAAGUUCUUGACCUCUGUGGGCCCUGUUAUAAUCAUCUCUCUUUCUCCUCUCCCGUCCCAUUGUUGGAGCAUAUGUCAGCUGUGUCCUGCUUUUUAUAUUUAGAAAAUCUGGUCUUUCUAAGCAUGCAUUGUGACCACACGGGAAGCUAGCAGACUGAAAGAAGUACAGACCGUCAUUCUGAUGGUAGCAGUCUUCCAGUCUUCUGGGAGAACAACAGACGGACUUAAAUAACACAACCGGUUUUAUUGACCAUGCUGUUUAUUUUAAUAGCUGGGCCAGAAUGGUUUGAUUGACUUUUUAAAAAUCUGGUAUGUGUUUUGCCAUAUGGACAAAGCCGUAUCUGAAGUGCCAAGCUAAUAAGCCUUCUCUUCCCUGCCAGUGAGCCAUGGAAGUUGUUAGCAAAAUGUUUUAUCUUGAAUGGAUCCAUUUUCCAAGAACUUGGUAAUAGAAGCACCCAUCUUAAGGGAUAAAGUGCAGAUUGUCUUCCAUCAGUCAUGGAGAAUUUGUUGCAUGGGCGAACCAUACACAAGCCCCAUGUGCAGUAGUUGGAGUUUGCCUACUGUUUCCCCAUAUUUGCUCAUGCCUGAACUUGCAAUGUUCUCUUACUUAUUCCCAGGUUAAUUGUUAAGGACUAAAGCAGGCUCAUGAGGAUUUCUGCAGGGCUAUCUGCAUACGUUGCCUCGGAUUGGUUCAUCUGCAGUCACAUGACCAUCCUUGUAUUCUAGGUUUAUAGCAUACCCCCCCUCACUGUGGUCUUAUUUUUUUCUCUCUACACUGUAGAGUGGAAGAGACCACAGGAUUGGAACUUUCAGUAAUGGCCAGGUGUGCCUCAUGACUCCUUUCUUCAGGGGAAAUAAUCCCAUGGAUGUCUAAGCUUUGGAAAACGGUUGGUUCCUGUGUUUUCUUUUGUUUUCUAGCUUUCUACACUGGCAAGUUAAUUCUGGACCACUUCAUCCUCUCGUUGCCAGACAUGGUAAUGCCUUCAAAUGUUUUGAGUGGUUCUUCUGCCAAAGACUUCUUUCAUCUGUUUACUUCAUUCUUAUCCACGUUUCCCCCUAGCAAAUGGUUCCAAGGCCUAACUUUUACAUUUGUCAAAUCUGCAUCUUUCUUCCUCAACAUUCACCCUUCGGUACCCCCUUCUCUUUUGCUGUAUUGUGUUUCCCUGGCCAUCGUUGCUGUCUCACCCUUUGGAGGUUUAUUUGCCUCCUUCAUACCCACUGCUCUAAAGUACUGAUUCUUUUUGUCUCUUCUUCCUGUCACUUCGACAUGGCAGAAAUUGCAUGUAGUAGUUGAUCCAUUCAUUGCAAGCUGCAGACCUGACUUCCAGUGUAGCUCUCUCCAAACACACCCUAAAUUCAGAAGGAAGUUACUUCUUUAUUGUGUGACUAUGGUGGCUCCUGUGUCCCUUCUCCCUGGAUUCUUACCAGCCUCCCUCAUCUCUUUUCUCUUCUUCCUCCUCCUUCCUUCACCCCCUGCCUAGUGAUGACGUUUCACAGAAUAUGUCUCUGAUAUUUCUCCCUGAGUUUUGCCGCCGUUACCUUUUCCUUAUCUGGUGUAAUAUAGUAUGUUAGUGCCACUAUUGGCCACCUAUGAGCCUGCUCAAACAGGCCAAUCAGCACUACCUUCCGGAGUCUAGCUAGGUGGAUAUUCAACAGAAAGGUUGCAGAAGCAAAUCCAUUUUGUCUUGCUUGGUAUUCUUACCUCAUGGUCUUAGGUCUCAUCCAGUUUCCUUAUUCCUUGCUGUUUCCUACCUCAGGCUGUGUUGAGAGUUUGCCUGCCCCUUGCUGAUGCACAGUGCUCUGCUGUAGGCCUGUCUUCCCUCUUACUUAAAUUUCAUCCUUCAGUGCUUGUGUCUGCACACUGAGGAUCCACUUUACCAUCUAUAAAUCCAGAGCAGUUGGUCUUUCUUCUGAAUGUCCUUAGUAUGUGCACUGAAUGAUUUAAUAGUCCUUAUACCCUCGCUUAUAAUGACUUAAAUUUUCCCUGAUUUUUCUUCAGUAGUGUUGGGGAAUCCUCAGACUUUUCCUAAGGUCUGGUUUUACUUCUAGAAUGCAGUCUUGGGCCUAAAGAACAGUGUAAAUGAUAAGUUUCCUUCAAGGAAAGGAUAGCUCAUCAGAAGGAGAUGAGGAUACAGGCUCCCUCGGAGCCUUUUGAGUAGUUUGAAUAGUUCAAAGGUGGGUAUAUAAAGAUGAACAGGAAAAAUAACUCUUUAAUGGCAGGUUGCUUUGUAAAGAUCCUUUUUUAAUGAAAUGUGACCUCAGUCAAUAGAGAUGAUUUCCUUCCAAGACUGUGAUGUAUGGCAUGAAUCAGAAUAGAUCCUUUGAUGAACCAUUGCUAGACUAUGAUGUUUUCUGUGACUUUUCCUAAAAAAGUAGCCAAAUAUGGAAGCAAUUGGGGCUAAGGAUGUAGCUCAGUUGGUUGAAUGCUUACUUAGCAUGCAGGUAGCCUGGGCUUCAGUCACUAGGACCACAUAAACCAACAUGACAGCACACAUAUGUAAUCCUAGCAGGUAGGACAUGGAGGUAGGAGAAGCAACAGUUCUAUGCCAUCCUGAUCUAUCAGACCUUGUAUCAAACAAACAAGCAAAAAAAUACAUUCUAAUGAUGGGCAUUGCAGUGGUUUAAAUAUGCUUGGCCCAGGAAGUGGCACUAUUUGGAGGUAUGGCCUUGUUGGAGGAAGUGUGUCACUGUGGGUGUGGGUUUUAAGCUGCCUGGAAGCCAACUUCUAGUGGAGAAUGAAGUUGUAAAACUGAACUCCUCCUGCAUCAUGGCUGCCUGGACACUGCCAUACUCCUGACAAUGGACUGAACCUCUGAACCUAUAAGCCAGCCCCACUGACUGUUGUCCUUGGUGUCUGUUCACAGUAGUAAAACCCUAACUAAGACAGGCAUGAAUGUGUUAGAGGAGGGGAUCUGAUAUAUCUUUCUCUUGACACUAUUGGUUUCAUGCCCAGAUAUCAAAAGGAAACGGUGCAGGUAUUUGAAGACCCUGGAAGGUUCAUGACCUUCUUGUCUCUCUUCCUAUGCUGAUGCCAGGCACUGUGUUUAACCAGACACAACAUUUUGCUGAUUUCCUUGAAAUGUUUCCUAAGAAGCACAUUAUCCCUUAAUCAGCUUCUUUUGAGCUAUCUGUUUAUACUAAACAAAGUCUUAUUCCAAUUAGUUUUAGAUUCUAAGCAGAAGCAUGGGUAAUUAAACAUUGUGUGAAGGAGUACCCUGUCACAGGGCUCUAAUAUCAAGUUCAGGUGCAGAAGAAACAAAUGUUAAGGUUUAUUAAUGUGGUUUUCAAUUGAUUGUCUUAAUUGGUUAGCUAUGCACAUACCGUGACCCAGGAGUUCAAACUUCAUCAUGAUGUGAACUUGGGACAGUGUGUUAGAGACUCUUCCUGUUGGUCUGAAAAAAGACCCGAAAAGAGCAACUUAGGAAGAGUUUUCAUUGACUCAUAGCUUGAGGGUGUGGCUUGUCACCAUGGGAACGCCCUGGUGUAACCAUCCUCCAGGCAGCUGGGGAUGCUGUUUCUGCAGCCAGGAAGCAGAGAGCCAUGACUGCAGUACAUGGCUCACUCUUUCCUUCUUCUUCAGUCUGGAUUGAGCCUGUAAGGAUGAUGCAGCCACCCACGUUUGUACUGGAUCAUCUCACUUCAGUUAACCCAAUUUAGAUAAUCCCUCACAGACAUACAUGCCCAGAGAUUUGUUUCUAUGGUGAUUCUAAAUCCUGACAAGUUGCCAAUAAAGAUUUAACUAUCAUAGGCACCAAGUGUGUCUUCCCUCUGUAAAACAAGAUACCAUAUUCAAAUGGACAGGAUAGAGGUUUUGUAGGAUAAAAGGGAAUUGUAAGUAAAAUGUAGAGUGGCAACUGCUUAGGGAGGCAUAAUUGCCUCUAAUUGUGGAGCAGGGCAAGCCCUCCAGACAGAAUCUGCCUCAGCAUAGGUUUUAGAAUCUUUGGAAUGUGUGCGCUUCUGCGGGACUCCUGAAAGAGCCUGGUUAGGGGUAGAGACAUUAUGAUUACCAUCAAAUUCUUACAAUAAAGAGAUCAGAACUCAGUGUGUGUAGGAUAGUUACUUAGAUAAACAUUCUGUGUUUUUUUUUUUAACAGUGAGAAAUUUUAGACAAACUCUUGGAGAUUAUUUGGAGUGAAAUUUAAUCUAAAUAUACUGCUGGCUGAGGUAGACAAGAAAAUGAAGUAAUCUCCAAUCCUGGCCCAUAGACAGUGCAGUUGGCACAUGUUGCACGUGUCUGGUGGUGAUUGACACUCUCUGAGUCUUAUGUGGAUGAUGUGGUUGUCAGCUACUGAGAACAUUUCAAGGGUGGGCAGCCAGUCCAGGAGCUACUGUUAAUAUUAAUUGUUGAAAGAAUUUAUUUCAUAAUGUUCAUGAUCUGUUGCAGUAAUAAAAUAGAUUAUUUUUAGAUUCCUAAUAUUAAAUUGUUUUCUCACUAGAAAAUUAUAAUUGGCUUUGUGUGUGUAGCACAAAUUUUAAAUAUUUGAUGUUAUUAGUAACACCAAUGUAAUGGGAAUUAACAAGAUAGAAAUGCAAAUGUAUUCUGUUUCUUUCAGUGUGGCUGCAGAGGGAGAAUUGUUUCUGCAGAUUCCUUUGAAUGUGUGUGCUUUUUCAGAAUGCACCUUAGGAUUUUGAUGGGUAUUUCAUUGCUUUUGCAUUGAUGGAUUAUUGGGUUUUGUUAAAUUUGAUUUUCCUAAAAUAUCCGGAUUCAUAGAUUUCUGCCUUGAAUUAGGAAGUGUGCACCUUACAGCUCCUAAAGUCACAGGACAGAGCUGGGAGAUAUACAGGUGGCUAUUAUCGUUGCCACCAUCUGUGUUUGGGACAUGAAAGCUGUAUCCCUCUGCCUUAAGUCUUGAAUAAAGUCCCCAGUGAUCAUCAAUAGCCUUCUUUACAAAUUCCUAAAGAGGGAUAUAAAGAUAGUUAGGAAAGGAAGAUAUACUGAUCAACUUACAUGUCAAAAGGAUGCUUCAACUCCCCUCCCCACCCCACCCCCCUCUGCCAGAUGAGGUCCCUCCAAUGGUCACCCAGGUUAGAUGGUUACACUGUCUUUUUCCAGGACCUCUGGCAUGCGUGAUAUGAAUUCACCUUAGUGCUUGUGGCAUACCAGUUUUGUGCCUGUGCCCUGGAUUUAGGUAAUGUCUUGUUUUGUUUUCUGAGAUAAGGUUUCAUCUAUUCCAAACUGUCCUCAAACUUGAUAUGUAGCUGAGGACCUUGAACUUCUCCAACCCAAUGCUGGGAUUACAGGUGUACCCACAUAGGUCAGGCUUAUUCUACACUGGGAGUCAAAGAAGGUUCCAUGUGUGCUAGGUAAGCUCUCUACCAAUGGAACUUUAUCUCCAAUAGGUUUAUGUUUUGGUUACAAAUUAUACCCAGCUAUGGGUCUUUCUUGGACUUAAAGAAUAAUGAUUCAAAGACACUUAAGGGCACCACACUUAGAUAUAUAUGAACAGAAGUUCCACAGACGUGACUGUCUCUAUGUGAUGAGCUUGUAUGAUUUGAAUGUUAACUGUUACUUUUGUUUUUUUUUCUUAAAGCAAUAAGUAAUUAUUGAAAAACCAUAAACUUAUGAAAAACCGGGCAUGAUUUGAGCUACACAUAUAGCGUUAGUACUUGGAGUCAGCUGGAUAAAGAGUAUAUUGUAUAUCUAGUAAGGCUGGCUCUCCUGGGCACCACAUUUCUUUGUAUGGCCAUACCCACCAUUGCUUCUACUGAGAACCCAGUGAAGACACUCUAGCUGUGACAUCUAGGUGUGAAGCAACUUCUUCUUGUGCCAGGACCACGUCCUUUUCCCACCUGAACCUCCAUCCUCCUCAUCUUGCUGCCCUGGCCAGCUGAUGCCCCAGACUGUAUCUGUGUCACAUCCCUGUGAUGCACAGUAGGUAUAGGUAGCUAUCAGCUCCUUUGCCUGUCCUGUGUGUCUGGCUCCUGCCCCUGCCCUCUAUCUGGUAUUGUAGCAUGAUAUAUUUACUGACUCUCAGAGAAUCCUGCUGUGGGUCUGGAGGCAGCACAUACUCCUAGUUUGCCACUGAGGUAGAUAGUCUCACCUUAAAACAAAAUAGGCCUCUCGUGGAGAGGAUUCUGCUUUUUGUUUUUGAAGCACCUCUUCCUGUAAAUCCCUUUCUUUAUAGGCAGCACUGUUUAAAAGCUGCGUGGGGCCAGAGAGAGGGUCUAGUGGGUUAAGAAGCACUGUGGCCAGCAAGAUGGAUCAGUGUGUAAUGGUACUUGCCACCAAGCCUGAAAACUUGAGUUUGUUCCCAGGAUCCAUGUGGCAGAAGGAGCAAACGGAUACCCUCAAGUGCCAUCUAACCUUCAUAAACAUGCAUGUACACACACACACACACACAUAAUGUUUGUGUGUGUGUGCAAUAAUAAAAAUAUACGAAAACUGUCAGUAUGAAAUUUGCUACAGAUUCUUUUUAGGUGCCUUCUAGAACCUUCUCUUUUGAUUAUAUGUGUCAAGUUUCUGGAAAUCAUGACUACUGAAUUACCGUGUGUGUGUGUGUGUGUGUGUGUGUGUGUGUGUGUGUGUGUGUGUGUGUGUGUAUAGACGUGCCACCAUGCCCAGCUACUGACUGACGUGGGCGCUAUAGAUUAAAUUGAAGCUCUCAUGUGUGUGCAGCAAGCAUUUGUUCACUCUGCUAUCUCUGCAGCUCCAGCAUGUAUUAAUAUAAUUUUUGACUAAAUGUUAAAAAUGGUCUUAGUAGUGAAAUAAUACGUUUUUUUUUCCGAAAAAAUAGAAAAGGAAUAUAUCAGCCAACCCCAAAACAAUAACAAUAUUGUAUUCUUGGUGAUGAUGGUGUUUAUCUGUAGUCCUAGACUGGGGGAGACAGGUAGAUUCCUGUGUCUUACUGGCUAGUCAACUGAGCCUAAUCUUAAAGCUCAGGGUUCAGUGAGAGACCCCGUGGAGGCUGAUUAAAGAAGACACCCAUGAGCACUGACAUGUGUGCUUGCUUGUGUGUAAUAAACAAACAAAAUACAUAAAAUAAGUAAACAAACAAAAGUACAUUUAAAGAGACCAUUUCUUCCCUCGUCACUGUUUCUCAGAGGAAAAACCACCGAAAGCUGUCAGCACUGCCUUUUUUCAAAGCUACUUUCUUCUGUCUGCUGUAGUCAGAAAACAUCACUAGGUUCCAGCUUCUUUGUCUUGAGCUCCAUCAAGGGUUGUGGACUCGGGUAUGGGAGUUAUUCAGCCCUCCUGACCUUUGCAUUGUCUGCAUGGAGCCGGCUGUUUAAAAAGACAACAGAAAAGCCAGGCCGUCCUUCAUUAGCUAGAGAAGAUCCCAAACAAAUGAAAACCCAGGAGAGCCUUGUUGAGUCUGAAUGUGAUGGUCUAUGAGGCACACCUCGAGUUCUGAGAGGGAGCACACUUAUAGCUUUAAUGACUCAUUUGGGAUUUUACACUCUGUUGCCAGAGCCAGUUAUCAACAGCUUUGAUUAGAAAUUGGGAAAGCCGGUUGCUGAGAGGCAGAGCGGAGAGAAUUGUAUUGGAUUAGAGAGGCAUUGUUUUGGACUGAAAGAGAAGGGAGACAUCUCGGGAAGCAUCUGAAUAUGCAUUUAUUGUAAUAACCGUGGUCGAGGUGGAGUGCAGUGCUUCGUUAUUAAAUUAAGUGUCUUUGUUCGUUCGUCUGGAUCCUCCUGUUGGCAGCAACCCCCUUUCCUCCUCAUUUAGGUCCAUUUUGAUGCAGUGUUACAUCCUGAUUUGUGGGUUGAAAUAUGUCAGUAUUCAUAAACCAAAUUCAUGAACCAUCCUUCAAAUUAUUUGGGCUGAUGAGACAUCAUUUACUGGUAUGAAGCCAACCCAGGAGAGGCCUGUGAAAUAAUGCAUUCAAAUGCUACCUCUAAAAAAUAUCGGUCUUUAUUCCCAGUCCUGUAUGUAGGGAGAAGCUCUACUUUAAGCCUUAUUAUUUUAACAAUGUGACGUGGGAUUAUAACGUACACCAGAGCAGCGUGCUCCGUGCUUGAGUACCUCCGAAUCUGGACACUAAGUGCGCUUCCUGUGUUCUGAGUUUUUAUCGUUAAACUGUGUCAAGAAGAUAUGCUCCGUGCCUUGGGGAAACCGUGAGGUAUGGCGUGGAAAUUUACACGUGGCCACAUCUUCCUAACUAUAGCUGAGUUUGUUAGUAGGCAGUAUUUUUACAAAAUACCCCGCUCUCACUCAGAGCAUUCCUAGUAUCGUCUGUAUUUAUAGUCUUACAUUUACGCUAAUGUACUAAGAAAUUCAUCAAACACUGUCUCCGUGGGCUCUGGCUUCCAAGCUGAAUCCGAGAAUUUCCUCCUGGUUAUUUAACUAUAAGCAGGGUGAUGCUUAAACAAAACAAAGAUAACAUUCUGUACCUACACAAUAGAUCAGAACAGCUUCUUUCAUCUCCACUUUGGGCCAUCUGUCUGAAAAGAAAGUAAAAGCCCUCAGGAAGCAAACCGGCAGUCUGUGGUUAAGUUUCAAGGCACAGGCUCUUUCCCACAGCCCAGCGAUGUGCCUGAGCACCGUAAUGGGUUUGUGUUGUCUGGGAGGAGCUGCGUGGCUUGACCUCGGCAUCUGUCGGUUAGAGCUGUUGGGUUCUCACUAGGAAUUUUUAAAUUCUGGCUGAAGAGGAUUAAAUUUAUUGCUAUUUAAACAUCAAGCUUAAUAACUAUUGGGAAUACUAUUUUCCAACAGCUAAAUUAGUCUUAGUUUUCAAAUGUUCCUAUGAACCAUAAUUCUUCCUGUUCUUACACUAGUGUGCGUGUGUGUGUGUGUGUGUGUGUGUGUGUGCGCGCGCGUGUGUGUAAAUGUGCAUGAAUCUGCAUGUAGAGGCCAGAGGACAGCCUCAACUCUUGUUCAUCUGGAUGUUAUCAAAUUUAGGGGUCACAGCCUGUGUCUCAAGUCAUGCCUAUCCACUAUCCUCAAUAGACGAAUUAAAAGAGCCAAGUUAAAAUGGAAAGCAGGAAAGGGGCAUGCAUUCAGCAUGGUCACUUUGGGAAGAAGGACAGCAGCAUCCAGUGAAUCCCCUAAGUCUUUUGGGGUCUUGAAUCAAGAUUAAAGCUUAAAAAGAGGUACAAGGAUACGAAUGUCUAAGCAGCCAGCCCCAGUCAAGGUGGUCUCACCCAUACUGUCUGGGCUUUAUCUGUAAGGUGGUCUGACAAGUUGCUAGAAGCCUGUGAAAUUGCUUUCAGAAGAAAAGUUCCCCUCUGGCCACUGCCUUUUCCUUCUCCCAGCAAGCGAUUCCUGGAGAUAUGCCCAUUUCUUUGGGAUCUAUUGUUUCAACAAUCUGAUAGUCAGAUUGAGAGACACAAGUGUCUCUUUAGAAUAUCCUCAUUUCUGCCAGGAUAGUUACAUGCACAGCUGUCUGCCUUAAUGGCGUUUUUUGUUCUAUUUGUUUGGUAGGUUUGGGUUUUGAUUAUGCUUGUGGAUGUGCCUGAGUAUGUGUGUUCAUGCCUGAGUGUGUCUGCACUCGCUUAUGUGUGUAUGUGUGCAUGUGUAUGUGCUUGUGUGCAUUCACAUGUAUGUGAGCAUGCAUGUGUGUGCAUCUGUAUGUGUGUGAAUGCAUGCAUGUGUGUGCGUAUGUGUGUUUAUGCCUGAAUGUGACUGCAUGUAUGUGUGUGCACUCACUUGUGUACAUGCAUGUGCAUAUUUGCGUGUGUGUGUAUGUGUAUAUGCUUGUGUGCAUUCACAUGUGUGUGUGUAUGUGUGUGUGCAUGGGUAUGGACAUGCGUGUGUGUUUUAUAAGGAGAUUGAGGAAGCAGUCCUGAGUUGGGAAGGUUGCUGAGAUAGAAGUCUUCUGAAGUGACUUCCGGGUGUGGGACUCCUUGUAACUGAACUCUCUCCCUGCCCACUGACACCUCCUAUUGUAAAGCAGGAGAGCAACACACAGUAACAUCUGUCAUCCUAGAAGCCAUUGGGACCAACUGGAGAAAGGGUCUGAUGAAGUGAAGAAGUGGUGAACUAUUUCAGCCCCAGGUCAUUUCUUGGGCCACCCAACACUAGAGUGUUGGCAAUGGCUUGAGCAACUUGAACAUCUGCUAGUUCAGUGCUCUACAUCCUGGGUUAUCACUCCUGUGAACAAGUGCUGUGAGACACUUGAUAUCAGUCUUUGUACAACACCAAACAGGAAAACAACCCAACCACAAAGUGUUUCCGGUGUUCUCAAAGGAAGGGAAUGUUUUUCAUAAUGAAAUUAAAUGUUUCUGGCUACCCAGUAUGUUCCCAUUGCCUAUAUUCCCUUAGGGUAUUACCUGUUCUUCAUAAUCACUGUCAGUACCCUGUACUGACAAUAAUAUCAAUGAUCAGGCAGCUGUGGAACAGGUAGGGGGAUGCAGGUGUGCAGUAAAUGUAAAUCUCAGCGUGGGGGAGCUAAAACAGUGUGUGAGGUAGUUUUCCAAGAUAGUUUUCCAUUACUGUUAGUUACCAAGGAAAAAUCAACUUAUAAAGCGAGAAGAUGGGUUUACUUCCAUUGCUUUCAGGUCUGUGGCAGAAUGGCUAUCAUGGCAAAAUGCACAGCCCAGUGGGAAGUGUGUGGCAGAGCAGAACUGCUCCACACAUGGUAAAGGCAAGAGUUAUUUGCUGCAGAGCCCUAUUUGCCUUUACAGCGUUACGCCCAGUGAUCUGGGAUUCCUCUGCCACCACCUUCAAGUGAACAGGCUUCCACCCACAUUGAACUUGGGGUAAGUUUUUAACACAUAAGCCUUUCACACUUUCCAGCCUAGAUGAGAGGAGCUUCCAGCUUUAGUUGGUUGCUGUUGUGUUGCUGAAUGAUGGAAGUCUGGAUUGCAGAGGUUAGGCAUCAGCCUUCUAAUAAGCACUGUCCCAGAUCUCUUGGUCUCUGCAUCAUAGAUUAUUCAUAUUAGAGCCACCACAGACCCCAAAACUGGCUUCAGUUUAAGAGAUGAUAGAUCCUGUAUGCUCUCCAGGAACUGGCUAGCUCUUCUUCCAGUGCCUUUCCACGAGGCAGUCUUCUUCAUUGAUUGUCUCCGUUGAUACCAGUAAGAGUGUAUGAAUGCUCUUAUGCUCAUUGUCUGUCUGUCUAUAUAUGUGUAUUUCUAUCUGUCUGUCUUCUUUCUGUAUCUGUCUCUGUGUGUCUGUCUUCUCUCUCUCUCUCUCUCUCUCUCUCUCCCUCCCUCCCUCCCUCCCUCCCUCCCUCUCUCCUUCUCUCCCUCCCUCCCUCUGUGUCUGUCUGUCUGUCUGUCUGUCAGCCUUGUCUGUUCUGUCUUGUGCAUUUUUCUCUCUCUCUGGAGGGUUACUGGGAUCAAAUCCAAGGCCUCAUGUCCUAAGAAUGUAUUCAACUACUGUACUACAUGCCCUCAACCCUAUAGGUACAUAGGAUAUAUAGAGAGGGUAUAGUGUAUACAGAAGUGUUUUACGUACCCCCACAAAAAUAUUUUUUACUACUAUAUAGUCAUAUUCUUCUUCUUUUUUUUUUUUUCAGAACAACUCAAGAUCACUUGCUCCUAUGUAAAGUAUAUACAAUGUGCAGGGCCAAUUAUAUUAGAAUCUUCACUCCCAUGAACACCCACUCCUGACUCUGUUCAGACCUGUGAGGCCAUUAGUUGGAGCUCCCGGAGACCUGAUUUCAUGCCAGUCACAUCACACAGACACAUGCUUGUUUAUGUUAGUCAUUAAAUCUCAAUAAGUAAACAGCAGCAAUAGUUAACGUGGCUCUUUAUAAAUGCAUAGUCAGUUGGGAAACAAAGAAAAGCAAGUUACUCAUGAAUAGUGAUCAACUUUAUGUAUUACCAGCACUCCCAAAAUACCUACAAAUAAGGGCAGACCUUACGGGGGGCAAACACUUUGAAUGAGGUUGUUCUAAAAGAUUUUGAACAAUGGCCAGUCUCAGUCCCUGCCCUACAGCUCUCAGAAACCUAUCCACAGCCCAUGGAAAGCUCAUGGCACCAAGUUGUUCUGUGCAGCAGCAAUGCUGGGCUGGCCUCAAGUCUCCCCUUCUCCCUCCUUUUUCCUUCCUUGGCCUGUACUUCCAGGGAACCCUGCUUUGCAUCCCAACCUUGGAACUGAUUAAAAGAAUGUUUACAGUUGGGCAGCCUAGCCAUCGUGUCUUUUAAAAGAGAGCAAGAAGAUAGCAAAACCUCAGGAAUCCACAGUAAGUGGGAGAAACACCCACCGGGUUAGUGUUCCGAGUUGUAGAGUCUUCAAAAGAAUAACAGUAAUUUAAUCACUCUCAGACUCCUCAAGUCCUUGGAGAAAUUAUCUAGUUUAAUUGAAAAGGAAAAUUUACAAAUAGCACAAAAGUUGUUGAGGAAAAACAGUGUUUUCAGAAGGGCUGUCACAGACUGGUAUUUUGAAGUAGCUUUCUCUCUGGAGGCUGGUUAUAAUACCAAUUUGCCUAUAACAUCUUUCAUUACAGCAAAUAAAAUGAUGCAUGGUGUUUUUUCCAAAUGAUCUAUGGUGUGUAAAAACCAUCCAUUAACCUGAGGACCAGAGUUGGCUCCCUGGCAGAACACUUGGUUGUACACCUGAGACUCUGGGGUCAAUCCCCAGAAGCCAUCUACAAAGCUGUGUGUGGAGCUAUAUACUUGUAAUCCCAGCAUUGAGGAGGCAGAGACAGGGGGAUCUCUGGGACUAUGUAGUGAGACACUUAGUUUGAAAACCAAAA